GGGCGUAUGGUGUAGUGGUAUCACUCAUGCUUUGCAUAGUUACCUCGUAGGUAAUGAUCUUGUAUGCGGUCCAGGGUUCAAACCCCUGUGCGUCCA
This is a non-coding RNA of Mycena haematopus, 96 nucleotides long. Lineage: Eukaryota; Fungi; Basidiomycota; Agaricomycetes; Agaricales; Mycenaceae. The record is from the annotation of a GenBank genome assembly.